AACGAACGCUGGCGGCAUGCCUAACACAUGCAAGUCGAACGAGACCUUCGGGUCUAGUGGCGCACGGGUGCGUAACGCGUGGGAACCUGCCCUUAGGUUCGGAUUAACUCCCCGAAAGGGGUGCUAAUACCGGAUAAUGUCUUCGGACCAAAGAUUUAUCGCCUUUGGAUGGGCCCGCGUUGGAUUAGCUAGUUGGUAGGGUAAAAGCCUACCAAGGCGACGAUCCAUAGCUGGUCUGAGAGGAUGAUCAGCCACACUGGGACUGAGACACGGCCCAGACUCCUACGGGAAGCAGCAGUGGGGAAUAUUGGACAAUGGGCGAAAGCCUGAUCCAGCAAUGCCGCGUGAGUGAUGAAGGCCUUAGGGUUGUAAAGCUCUUUUACCCGGGAUGAUAAUGACAGUACCGGGAGAAUAAGCUCCGGCUAACUCCGUG
This 433-nucleotide ribosomal RNA is filed under the name uncultured bacterium. Its description in RNAcentral is "partial 16S ribosomal RNA". It matches the Rfam family "Bacterial small subunit ribosomal RNA", at positions 29 to 507 of the family's 1533-position model. The record is from RNAcentral.